This 1498-nucleotide long non-coding RNA is filed under the name Vigna radiata. Its description in RNAcentral is "long non-coding RNA (VRAD_LNC013312)". The record is from RNAcentral. Lineage: Eukaryota; Viridiplantae; Streptophyta; Magnoliopsida; Fabales; Fabaceae.
UAGUCACUUUAUACACACUUUGUACAUGAUUUCUACAUCUUUCUUCAUCUUCCUACACCCUUAGUAAACCUUUUCAAGAGUCUAUCUACACCCUUUCUACAUCCUUUCUAACCCCUUUAUAUACCAUUUGGACACCCUUCUGUAGCCUUUCUACAUAUUGUUUAAAAAGAGUUAGAAUGGGUCUUCGCCCAAAGUACACCCUUUUUACACCCUUUGUACACAUUUUAUACACCCUUUAUACAACAUUUGUAAACCCUUUGUACUCACUUUAUACACACUUUGUACACGAUUUCUACAUCUUUCUUCAUCUUCUUACACCCUUACUAACCCUUUUCAAGAAUCUUUCUACACCCUUUCUACAUCCUUUUUAACCCCUAUAUAUACCAUUUGUGCACCCUUCUGCAACCUUUCUACAUAUUUUUUAAAAAGAGGUAGAAUGGGUCUACACCCUUUGUACACCCUUUAUAAGCCUUUUUACACCCUUUAUACACCCUUUAUACAACAUUUGUAAACCCUUUGUACUAAUUUUAUACACACUUUGUACACGAUUUCUACAUCUUUCUUCAUCUCCUUACACCCUUACUAAACCUUUUCAAGAGUCUUUCUACACCCUUUCUACAUCGUUUCUAACCCCUUUAUAUACCAUUUGUGCACCCUUCUGCAGUCUUUUUACAUCUUUUUUAAAAAGAGAUAGAAUGGGUCUACACCCUUUGUACACCCUUUAUAAACCUUUUGCACAACCUUUAUACACCCUUUAUACAACAUUUGUAGACCCUUUGGACUCGAUUUAUACACACAUUGUACACGAUUUCUUCAUCUUUCUUCAUCUUCUUACAACUUACUAAACAUUUUCAAGAGUCUUUCUACAUCCUUUCUACAUCCUUUGUAACCCCUUUAUAUACCAUUUGUGCACCCUUCUGCAGCCUUUCUACAUAUUUUUUAAAAAGAGGUAGAAUGGGUCUACACCCUUUGUCCACCCUUUAUACACCUUUUGUACACCCUUUAUACAACAUUUGUAAACCCUUCUUUGUACUCAUUUUAUACACAUUUUGUACACGAUUUCUACAUCUUUCUUCAUCUUCUUACACCCUUACUAAAUCUUUUUGAGAGUCUUUCUACACCCUUUCUACAUCCUUUCUAACCCCUUGAUAUACAAUUUGUGCAACCUUCUGCAGCCUUUCUACAUUUUUUUUAAAAUAGGUAGAAUGGGUGUACAGUCUUUGUACACCCUUUCUACACCCUUUGUUCACCCUUUAUACACCCUUUAUUCGACAUUUGUAAACCCUUUGUACUCACUUUAUACACACUUUGUAGAUGAUUUCUACAUCUUUCUUCUUCUUCUAACACCCUUACUAAACCUUUUCAAGAGUCUUUCUACACCCUUUCUAACCCCUUUAUAUACAAUUUCUGCACGUUUCUGCAGCCUUUCUACAUAUUUUUUAAAAAGAUGUAGAAUGGGUCUACACCCUUUGUACACCCUUUAUACACCCUUGGUACA